Molecule: ribosomal RNA, 483 nt
Filed under: uncultured bacterium
Lineage: Bacteria
Description: partial 16S ribosomal RNA
Rfam family: Bacterial small subunit ribosomal RNA
Source: RNAcentral
GACGAACGCUGGCGGCGUGCUUAACACAUGCAAGUCGAACGCUGAAGCUCAGCUUUUGUUGGGUGGAUGAGUGGCGAACGGGUGAGUAACACGUGAGUAACCUGCCCCCUUCUUUGGGAUAACGCCCGGAAACGGGUGCUAAUACUGGAUAUUCACUGGUCUUCGCAUGGGGGUUGGUGGAAAGGGUUUUUCUGGUGGGGGAUGGGCUCGCGGCCUAUCAGCUUGUUGGUGGGGUGAUGGCCUACCAAGGCUUUGACGGGUAGCCGGCCUGAGAGGGUGACCGGUCACAUUGGGGCUGAGAUACGGCCCAGGCUCCUACGGGAGGCAGCAGUGGGGAAUAUUGCACAAUGGGCGCAAGCCUGAUGCAGCGACGCCGCGUGAGGGAUGGAGGCCUUCGGGUUGUGAACCUCUUUCGCUCAUGGUCAAGCCGCAACAAUGGUUGUGGUGAGGGUAGUGGGUAAAGAAGCGCCGGCUAACUACGUG